GCGAUCAUACCAGCACUAAUGCACCGGAUCCCAUCAGAACUCCGAAGUUAAGCGUGCUUGGGCGAGAGUAGUACUAAGAUGGUGACCUCUUGGAAGUCCUCGUGUUGCACCCC
This 113-nucleotide ribosomal RNA is filed under the name Spirodela intermedia. Lineage: Eukaryota; Viridiplantae; Streptophyta; Magnoliopsida; Alismatales; Araceae. The record is from RNAcentral.